CUUUUUUAGUCGAUGAAUCGUUUGAGUUUCUGCCCCAUCAGUUGUCGACGGUAGUGUAUUGGACUACGGUGACUAUAACGGGUGACGGAAAGUUAGGGCUCGACUCCCGAGAGGGAGCCUGAAAGACGGCUACCAUAUCCAAGGAUAGCAGCAGGCGCGUAAAUUACCCACUGGGGACUCCACGAGGUAGUGACGAGAAAUAUCGAUGCGAAGCGUGUAUGCGUUUUGCUAUCGGAAUGAGAGCAAUGUAAAACCCUCAUCGAGGAUCAACUGGAGGGCAAGUCUGGUGCCAGCAGCCGCGGUAAUUCCAGCUCCAGAAGCAUAUGCUAAAGUUGUUGCAGUUAAAAAGCUCGUAGUUGAAUUUCUGGCAUGGGCGACCGGUGCUUUCCCUGAAUGGGGAUUGAUUGUCUGUGUUGCCUUGGCCAUCUUUUUCAUGCCGUUAUUGGGGAGAAAUCUUUCACUGUAAUCAAAGCAAAAUGUUCCAAGCAGGUCGUAUGACCGGUAUGUUUAUUAUGGGAUGAUAAGAUAGGACUUGGGGGCUAUUUUGUUGGUUUGCCGCCUGAGUAUGGUUAAAGGAAAGUUGGGGGUUUCGUAUUUAGAGCUAGAGGGGAAUUCUUGGAUUCCGAAAACGACUAAAACGAAGGCUUUACCAACAUGUUUCAUUAUCAAAACGAAGUCUGGGAUCG
This 686-nucleotide ribosomal RNA is filed under the name Aurantiochytrium limacinum. RNAcentral's name for it is "bacterial SSU rRNA". It matches the Rfam family "Eukaryotic small subunit ribosomal RNA", at positions 278 to 1000 of the family's 1831-position model. Lineage: Eukaryota; Bigyra; Thraustochytrida; Thraustochytriidae. The record is from RNAcentral.